Pieris rapae (cabbage white) is the source of this 789-nucleotide long non-coding RNA. RefSeq lists it as uncharacterized. The record is from RefSeq and is a predicted model, not a curated record. The transcript is spliced from 3 exons. NCBI's taxonomy places the organism in Eukaryota, Metazoa, Arthropoda, Insecta, Lepidoptera, Pieridae.
AUUACACCUUAGUGUUAGUCUGUAAGUCUCAAGCCCCAAGUCAAAAAAAAAUAGUUCAUUUAAAUUCAAGAAAGACAUUUCAUCGGAAUUGUAUGUUAUUAUGAGAUUUACUGAUUCUUAGUAAGGACGUUGUGUUAAAUUGAAAUUCCUCGUUAAAAUGAAAUUGGAAUUAACUAAAAAUAGCCCACAUAAGAAGCAACCAAGACAUAUUUUGAAUGUCGAUGAAAUAACCGAUGUUUCAAAAAACCCACCCGAGGAAAUUAUUAUUGAAAAGAAUCUUAACCCGUUAAAAGUAAAUAAGACGGGAAACCAGAACUUAGAUUCUGCUGAUAUAAAUGAUUUGUCUGCAUUACAACUUGGUAAUGCAAAAUUUGGUUGGCUAGACAAAUUAAAACUGGGUCUUUUAAUAAUACUUAUUAUUGUUUACAUUGGUUUCCUUAUGAAAAGUCUUAUAUAUGAAAUAAAGAAGAUGAGGGAUGUUCAGCACAUGAUAAAUAGGAUGAGGCCAAUAAUUGCAGCUCUCUAUAAGAUAGAUGCGAAUGUAGUGUAGUGGAAGGGAAAUGCAGAGAGCUCUCAACUAUCAACUAUCAUCUCAACAAUCUGCCCUUACCAGAGGAAGGCUACUCUAAUUUUUUAGAUAUGUCUUCUUGGUAAUGAUAAUCUUAGAAAAACAACAUGUCUUCAAAUAUUGAUUAAUGUUAUUGCAGGUUGACAUUCUUGUUGAAUGAGGUAGAGGAGAGAGUAGGAAAAGCAAUCUUGAUCUCGCGAGAUCUUGUGCUAUUUUUCAGA